UUAUUUGAAGAUACAUUGUUUGCUAAAGAGAAAAAGGAAUCAAUGAGGUUCAAUAGAGUAACCAGAAUCAGCUGGAUUCUGCAUGGAGCUUUUGAAGUUCACUGAAAGGAAGAGGCAUCGCCUUUUGAAUACGUAUCACCUUCCACAGAGUUUGUAGACAUGCACAUGAACAGAGCAUGACAAGCAAGGGAAGGAAAAAAAACUUAGCAAAAAUGGAUCAGAUAUUACAACUAGUCAUAAAAUGAGGCAUUUUCACUGUUCAUCACCUUGGAUAGACCACUGGAAACUGCAACAUGAAAUAAAGAGCUCUCCAUUUUAUAUCACAGGAUCAUAGAAUCCCUACAGUGCAGAUAGAGGCCAUUUGACCAAUCAAGUCUGCAUUUACACUCCAUAGACCAUCUUACACAGGCCCAAAAUCAGACUAAAACAGAUGACACCCAAGCUAAGGGGAUGGAAUUAAUCUGCACUGGCUGAGUGAAUUGUGCUUGAGUGAAAUAACAGUCUGUUUCAUAGCACGACAAUGUGAUUCCUGGGCCAGCAACACCUUUUUAGUGAAUUUAACACCUUAUACAUCAACACACCUUACUUUUUUGAACCGGUGAUGGAAAAUUUGAAAAGUUGAUGAGUUCACAUUUGCAGUGUUAAUAUUUGAAAAUUCUUACAUAGAUAUCAUUGGCAACAGCUACAGAAUCAUAUAAUGCCUGCAGUAUAGAAGCAGGCCAUUUGGCCCAUCAGGUUCAUACCGAUACUCCGAAGAGCAUCCAAUCCAGACCCACCCUAC
Molecule: non-coding RNA, 781 nt
Organism: Chiloscyllium plagiosum (whitespotted bambooshark)
Lineage: Eukaryota; Metazoa; Chordata; Chondrichthyes; Orectolobiformes; Hemiscylliidae
Source: RefSeq, a predicted model, not a curated record